GGCCCUAUCGUCUAUCGGUUAGGACACAAGCUUCUCAAGCUUGGAAGCCGGGUUCGAUUCCCGGUAGGGUCACAA
Molecule: transfer RNA, 75 nt
Filed under: Candidatus Kaiserbacteria bacterium RIFCSPHIGHO2_01_FULL_55_37
Lineage: Bacteria; Candidatus Kaiseribacteriota
Also listed under: 1 other name
Description: tRNA-Glu
Rfam family: tRNA
About the family: Transfer RNA (tRNA) molecules are approximately 80 nucleotides in length. Their secondary structure includes four short double-helical elements and three loops (D, anti-codon, and T loops). Further hydrogen bonds mediate the characteristic L-shaped molecular structure. tRNAs have two regions of fundamental functional importance: the anti-codon, which is responsible for specific mRNA codon recognition, and the 3' end, to which the tRNAs corresponding amino acid is attached (by aminoacyl-tRNA synthetases). tRNAs cope with the degeneracy of the genetic code in two manners: having more than one tRNA (with a specific anti-codon) for a particular amino acid; and 'wobble' base-pairing, i.e. permitting non-standard base-pairing at the 3rd anti-codon position.
Source: RNAcentral